RNAcentral lists this ribosomal RNA (605 nucleotides) under uncultured soil bacterium. RNAcentral's name for it is "bacterial SSU rRNA". It matches the Rfam family "Bacterial small subunit ribosomal RNA", at positions 35 to 629 of the family's 1533-position model. The record is from RNAcentral.
GCUGGCGGCGUGCCUAAUACAUGCAAGUCGAGCGGUUUUCACCUUCGGGUGGAGACAGCGGCGGACGGGUGAGUAACACGUAGGUAACCUGCCACUCAGACUGGGAUAACUACCGGAAACGGUAGCUAAGACCGGAUACGCUUAUAGGAGGGCAUCCUCGUAUAAGGAAAAGCGGAGCAAUCUGCUGCUGAAUGAUGGACCUGCGGCGCAUUAGCUAGUUGGUGGGGUAGCGGCUCACCAAGGCGACGAUGCGUAGCCGACCUGAGAGGGUGAACGGCCACACUGGGACUGAGACACGGCCCAGACUCCUACGGGAGGCAGCAGUAGGGAAUCUUCGGCAAUGGACGGAAGUCUGACCGAGCAACGCCGCGUGAGUGAAGAAGGUUUUCGGAUCGUAAAACUCUGUUGCCAGGGAAGAAAGGUUAAGAGAGUAACUGCUCUUGGCUUGACGGUACCUGAGAAGAAAGCCCCGGCUAAUUACGUGCCAGCAGCCGCGGUAAUACGUAGGGGGCAAGCGUUGUCCGGAAUUAUUGGGCGUAAAGCGCGCGCAGGCGGUGACUUAAGUCUGGUGUAUAACCCAAGGGCUCAACUCUUGGUGGCAUUGG